This 344-nucleotide ribosomal RNA is filed under the name uncultured bacterium. RNAcentral's name for it is "bacterial SSU rRNA". It matches the Rfam family "Bacterial small subunit ribosomal RNA", at positions 18 to 344 of the family's 1533-position model. The record is from RNAcentral.
CCUGGCUCAGGACGAACGCUGGCGGCGUGCCUAAUACAUGCAAGUAGAACUCACAGUAUAUACCGUAGCUUGCUACACCAUAGACUGUGAGUUGCGAACUGGUGAGUAACUCGUAUGUAACCUGCCUGUUAGCGUUGGAUAACUAUUGGAAACGAUAUCUAAUACCGCAUAAUAUUAAGUAUUGCAUGAUAAUUGAUUGAAAGGUGCAAUUGCACCACUACCAGAUGGACCUGCGUUGUAUUAGCUAGUAGGUGAGGUAACGGCUCACCUAGGCGACGAUACAUAGCCGACCUGAGAGGGUGAUCGGCCACACUGGGACUGAGACACGGCCCGGACUCCUACGG